Molecule: ribosomal RNA, 220 nt
Filed under: uncultured bacterium
Lineage: Bacteria
Description: partial 16S ribosomal RNA
Rfam family: Bacterial small subunit ribosomal RNA
Source: RNAcentral
ACCAAGGCUGCGAUGCAUAGCCGACCUGAGAGGGUGAUCGGCCACACUGGAACUGAGACACGGUCCAGACUCCUACGGGAGGCAGCAGUGGGGAAUAUUGCACAAUGGGCGAAAGCCUGAUGCAGCAACGCCGCGUGAGCGAUGAAGGCCUUCGGGUCGUAAAGCUCUGUCCUCAAGGAAGAUAAUGACGGUACUUGAGGAGGAAGCCCCGGCUAACUAC